Molecule: ribosomal RNA, 644 nt
Filed under: Ganoderma lucidum
Lineage: Eukaryota; Fungi; Basidiomycota; Agaricomycetes; Polyporales; Polyporaceae
Description: eukaryotic LSU rRNA
Rfam family: 5.8S ribosomal RNA (bases 238-391)
Source: RNAcentral
UUUUUUUCGGGGAGGGAACCUGCGCAAGGAUCAAUUAUGGAGUUUUGACCGGGUUGUAGCUGGCCUUCCGAGGCAUGUGCACGCCCUGCUCAUCCACUCUACACCUGUGCACUUACUGUGGGCUUCAGAUUGCGAGGCACGCUCUUUACCGGGCUUGCGGAGCAUAUCUGUGCCUGCGUUUAUCACAAACUCUAUAAAGUAACAGAAUGUGUAUUGUGAUGUAACACAUCUAUAUACAACUUUCAGCAACGGAUCUCUUGGCUCUCGCAUCGAUGAAGAACGCAGCGAAAUGCGAUAAGUAAUGUGAAUUGCAGAAUUCAGUGAAUCAUCGAAUCUUUGAACGCACCUUGCGCUCCUUGGUAUUCCGAGGAGCAUGCCUGUUUGAGUGUCAUGAAAUCUUCAACCUACAAGCUUUUGUGGUUUGUAGGCUUGGACUUGGAGGCUUGUCGGCCGUUAUCGGUCGGCUCCUCUUAAAUGCAUUAGCUUGGUUCCUUGCGGAUCGGCUCUCGGUGUGAUAAUGUCUACGCCGCGACCGUGAAGCGUUUGGCGAGCUUCUAACCGUCUUAUAAGACAGCUUUAUGACCUCUGACCUCAAAUCAGGUAGGACUACCCGCUGAACUUAAGCAUAUCAAUAAGCGGAGGAA